This 22-nucleotide microRNA is filed under the name Dasypus novemcinctus (nine-banded armadillo). RNAcentral's name for it is "dno-miR-376b-5p". Its record names the gene dno-miR-376b-5p. The record is from miRBase by way of RNAcentral. Lineage: Eukaryota; Metazoa; Chordata; Mammalia; Cingulata; Dasypodidae. RNAcentral also lists the same sequence under 15 other names.
GUGGAUAUUCCUUCUAUGUUUA